GUGAAUCAUCGAAUCUUUGAACGCAACUUGCGCUUUCUGGUAUUCCGGAAAGCAUGCCUGUUUGAGUGUCAUGAAAUCUCAACCAUUAGGGUUUCUUAAUGGCUUGGAUUUGGAUGUUGCCAAUUGCUUUGGCUCAUCUUAAAUGAGUUAGCGUAUUUGACUUGUCGUUUCUGGCGUAAUAAGUUUCGCUGGUUAAGACUUGAUAAGUAUGCUCCUAAUCGUCUUAGGACAAUUACUUGAACUCUGGCCUCAAAUCAGGUAGGACUACCCGCUGAACUUAAGCAUAUCAAUAAGCGGAGGA
This 301-nucleotide unclassified non-coding RNA is filed under the name Apiotrichum sp. RNAcentral's name for it is "partial contains 5.8S ribosomal RNA, internal transcribed spacer 2, and large subunit ribosomal RNA". The stretch from base 1 to 71 matches the Rfam family "5.8S ribosomal RNA", at positions 84 to 154 of the family's 154-position model. Lineage: Eukaryota; Fungi; Basidiomycota; Tremellomycetes; Trichosporonales; Trichosporonaceae. The record is from RNAcentral.